RNAcentral lists this ribosomal RNA (459 nucleotides) under Nocardia farcinica. Its description in RNAcentral is "bacterial SSU rRNA". It matches the Rfam family "Bacterial small subunit ribosomal RNA", at positions 49 to 525 of the family's 1533-position model. The record is from RNAcentral. Lineage: Bacteria; Bacillati; Actinomycetota; Actinomycetes; Mycobacteriales; Nocardiaceae.
UAACACAUGCAAGUCGAGCGGUAAGGCCCUUCGGGGUACACGAGCGGCGAACGGGUGAGUAACACGUGGGUGAUCUGCCCUGUACUUCGGGAUAAGCCUGGGAAACUGGGUCUAAUACCGGAUAUGACCUUACAUCGCAUGGUGUUUGGUGGAAAGAUUUAUCGGUACAGGAUGGGCCCGCGGCCUAUCAGCUUGUUGGUGGGGUAAUGGCCUACCAAGGCGACGACGGGUAGCCGGCCUGAGAGGGCGACCGGCCACACUGGGACUGAGACACGGCCCAGACUCCUACGGGAGGCAGCAGUGGGGAAUAUUGCACAAUGGGCGAAAGCCUGAUGCAGCGACGCCGCGUGAGGGAUGACGGCCUUCGGGUUGUAAACCUCUUUCGACAGGGACGAAGCGCAAGUGACGGUACCUGUAGAAGAAGCACCGGCCAACUACGUGCCAGCAGCCGCGGUAAUA